Clupea harengus (Atlantic herring) is the source of this 440-nucleotide long non-coding RNA. RefSeq lists it as uncharacterized. The record is from RefSeq and is a predicted model, not a curated record. The transcript has 3 exons. Lineage: Eukaryota; Metazoa; Chordata; Actinopteri; Clupeiformes; Clupeidae.
GAGCCCGGUGUCAUUUAUAAGCGCGGACAUAUCUGUACGGACCAGAAGAGACCUGGAAUAACCUACUUAUAGAAAGGCAAGACUACGGAUUCAGUUACUUGAAAAGAAAGAAACUAUUAAGUGAACAUCUCACCUUUUUGCUUGUUCAUCUUUUUUCCGACAAACAGCAGCGGACACUUCAUCACUUCUACGACAUAUUUCAAAGAAUUAAAAGAAGACAAACGGAUUUACAGAGAUCUGUCGACACAUCAUGCCAUGGACUGUACCAGUGAGUGUUGACCCAUUGAGCUCGCAGUCACAGCUGCCUGUGGAUAUGGAGUUGGCACAUACCCCCCAGAGACUCCAUCAUGCACACUCGCUGCACACACACUCACAAUCCUCACCGCCUGCUGCACACACACACAGACUACCAGCCAAGCUGGGUGCUCUGUCCACGCACC